Molecule: ribosomal RNA, 463 nt
Filed under: uncultured bacterium
Lineage: Bacteria
Description: bacterial SSU rRNA
Rfam family: Bacterial small subunit ribosomal RNA
Source: RNAcentral
UACGGAAGGCAGCAGUGGGGAAGUAUUGCACAAUGGGCGAAAGACCUGAUGCAGCUAUGCCGCGUGUAUGAAGAAGGCCUUAGGGUUGUAAAGUACUUUCAUCGGGGAGGAAAAACAAAACUAAUAAUUUUAUUUCUUGACGUUACCCGAAAAAGAAGCACCGGCUAACUCCGUGCCAGCAGCCGCGGUAAUACGGAGGGUGCUAGCGUUAAUCAGAAUUACUGGGCGUAAAGAGCACGUAGGUGGUUUUUUUAAGUCAGAUGUGAAAAUCCCUGGGCUUUAACCUAGGAACUGCAUUUUUGAAACUGAAAUACUAGAGUAUCGUAGAGGGAGGUAGAAUUCUAGGUGUAGCGGUGAAAUGCGUAGAUAUCUGGAGGAAUACCUGUGGCGAAAAGCGGCCUCCUAAACGAAUACUGACACUGAGGGUGCGAAAGCGUGGGGAGCAAAACAGGGAUUAGAUACC